GGACAUGUAAGGUUACUAACAUAACAAUUACUUUUAAUUAAAGGAAAAUGCCAUUUUUUUCAGUAACGCAUAUAAUCAGUUGAACAACAGGUAAAAUGUAUAUUUGGUGUAAUUUAUGCAUUUUUAUGGAAUUUCCCUGUUCCUAUCAAAAUGUGAUAUUACUGUUAAAUUCUACUGUUUUUUCUCUGUAAAAUACAUUUAUUUUUUACAGUGUAGGAAAAAUAUCAUUAAACUACUCCAUGUGACUCCAGUGGCUUAAAAUCAAUUUUAUGAAGCGACCUGAGUGCUUCAUGUUUAAGUGAAAGUUUGAGGCAAUUUUUUUUUAGAAAAUACUAAAACUGGUAGUUAACAGACUUAACAUAAAGACUAAAUAAGAUUCUCUUGUUCAUCUUAAUGGUAAUGCUAAAAUAACACCUGUCAUGUUCUUCACAACACUGCAGUCUCAUUGGCUGAUCGAUGAUAGAUCUGUCAAAUCACGGCAUUGCCACACCCACCUCAGCCAGCCCUCUAUAAAAGUGUCAUGCUCUGGUAUAGUUUACACACAGCAGCUGUACCUGAAGAACUGGACAGGCUAAGACACAAAAACUACUGAAGAAUCUAGAAGAAUAGGAUACAGAAGACAGAAACUGAGAAAAACCUGAGCAAAGAAACGGUCAUCAGUAAACGGUACACUUUAAGAUUUCCAUCUUAAAACCUUUGAAAAUGGGAAAUAAUAAAUCUGGUGAAGAAAAGGAACGCAAAAGAGCUGAAGAAGCUGAGAAGGGAAAGAAACAAACUGAAGAGGAAAAAAAAGAUAUUGCGGGAGAACUUAAAACAUUAAAACUAGAAAAUGAAUUAGAGAGAUUGAGAGAGGAGAAAAAAUUAGCAGAGGAGCGCAAUAGAAACGAAGCAGAAAAACGAGCACUCCAGGAACAAUAUGACAAAAUACAAAAUGAGAGAAACAUGCAGAGAUUGAAAGAAGAAGAGAAGAAGAAAAUCGACAAGGAGAACAGAUAUAAAGAGGAAGAAGAAAGGAAAAGAAUUCACAUAGAGAAGCAAAAUGCACAAAAAGAGAUGUGAUGGUUAUGGGUUUAUUAAUGGGAAUUAUUUUUUUAUCUCUAUUCAUCAUAUAGAAAGAUCAUCUAGAUGCAUAUCACCUAAAUCAUUUUGUAAAGGUUUAUUUUUCUUCUUCCAUAUGUCUACUUUAAAGCACUUUGUAAACACUUUGUUUUAAAAGAUGCUAUAUAAAUAAAGUUUUACAUCUUAUUUACUGCCUCCAAAGAUGAGUAUGCAUAUCCUUCUUAGAUUUUGAACUUUGCAAGACUUUAAAAAAUAAAAACAUUUUCAGAUUUUUUUUCCCAUAGACAUAGGGAUUGAUCCAAAUCAUAAAAGAAUAGUCACAUUUUAUUAAACGCAAUUUAUUUGCUGCGAAUCAAUGGCUGAAUGACAAUACAAUCCAUUUUAGUUUUCUUUUCCACAAGCUCUAACGUCAUUAUAAUGGAGAACACUAGAAGUAUAGUAUGCACUUCUUCACUUGGUAUAAAUACUUUAGCAUUGAAAAUGAUUGUGGUGUUGUGAAUCAAGUCCACAUUAGAGGCUUUGUAACUACAAGCUAGUUGGUUUGUAACUAACUCUGUACUUUAUUUGGUUGCACUAUUUGUUCUUAAGGCAGAGUGUAGAAGGUUGUAAGCUUUCUGUAAUGUAAUGAAUUGCAUAAUAUGACGUUUACCCUCAAUUAUCCAAUAACAGCCUUUAAAUACGUGAGCAGAAGUUGUUGAAAUUCCGUGCAUUUCAGUUUAUCCUUCAUUAUAACUUCUUUUGCCUUACGUAACUAUGGUAAAAACAAGUUUCUUUUAAAAGACGACACUACUUAAUCAUGAAUAACAUAAUAGGUAUUUUAUAUGUAAAUAAUAAGGGUGUAACGGUUCUUGGUUGCACUCCUAUUAAUUGAACCGUAAAGAAAAAUCGUAUCGUUCUCCACCCACGGUUCGGCAUGCACUUGCACCGCGGUUCAACUUAAAUCUGACGACGCAUCUAUAAUAUGGUUUGUUAAAAAAAUAACAACGCGUAAAACAGACAGACAGAGUUCGGCUAAAAUAUAUCAAAUAUCAAAAAUAUGUGGACAAAACAGUCACUCUUUGUAAACUUUGUUCAAUGUAAGUGCUGUAUGCUUGAAUAUGAGCAAUCAUUUACACCGUCAUUACCUGGGUGAGACAGCACACGUUGCUAUCUGUGUUUAAAGGUGGGGUAAGCAAUAUUUUUAAAAAACACUGCUGGGCAUUGUUGAUAUUUGAAAUAAACCCAAACAAACACCUCUCUCUUCAUUGGUCCGCCUCCAAAACUCACCCUCCAAUCCUAGCCACCCUGCACCGCGGCGGUCUCAUAUCUCGCUCGCCAAGUGCACUAGCAAUGAUGCUAAAUGCCGCAUUCUCUAGCGGUCAUCAGCGUGCAGUGGUUUACCUGCGCAAUGUGAGAGUGGAUGGCUGUGUAUCACAGCUGACAUGCAACAAAAUAAUGCUUUACAAAAAAUAAAGCGCAAAUGAUGAACGAACGACAAGAAAGCACAAAAAAAUUAACGUACAAAACAGAUGUUACAACCACGCUUGCCCCGGACUCCAUUUCCCAUGUUCCUCCCUGUUCAUCACCUGUUUACACUUCCCUCAUCAGCUUUCACGCUCCUCCUGGAUUCCCGGCACCUGUUCCUCAUCAUUAGCACUCCCUUUUAGUUGGACUCACUCCCUGUCGGUUCUUAUUGUUAGUUAAAUGUGUGUAUGGUUGUUCUGUCUCCUUCGCUGUUAAUAAAUACCCUGUUUUGUUGAAGUCUGUGAAUGCCUCGUCUCUACCGCAACCUCACCUUGUAACAGAAUCUAAUCGUAAUCAAUGAAAUGGCAUUUCGUAAUCAAAGCAGCCUCCGCAUCUGUUUUCAGGCCUUCCCACUAACUCUCUCCAGCGCUGGAAAGCAGUCUGCAGUCUUUCUUCAAAUCUCUUGCUCGUUCUCUAUCCUUGACCGUCAUACGCCCCCUAAUGCUGAUUGGCUACACGUUUGUUGUUCUUUGUUUGCUGGUGUGUCAGUCCGACUAACUUCCAAACAACUUAUUUUUGAAAUUUCGCUUACCCCACCUUUAAACUAAUCUCAUUUAAGCCUUGCCAAUUUAAACAUUCAAGAACCAGAAGACGCGAAUAAGAACUCACGCACACUGCGAGAAGAUUUGUGUGCGCUCAUCCGAAGUGCACAAACCCGCGUCUCAGACAGCGCGCAAAUAUUGAGUUCUCUUUCAAGUUUUGUGCUUGAACAGACAAAUUCACACAAAAAUUAUGUCAACAUGUCUGUCUUGGUGAGUAUCAUAGCAGACAUAGUCAGUUGAAUGUGUACUGGAUCCGUGCAUUGUCUUAAAGUGACAGCAUCCUAAUAUUCCUGUGUUUUUAAUGUUAAUAAA
Megalobrama amblycephala (Wuchang bream) is the source of this 3416-nucleotide long non-coding RNA. RefSeq lists it as uncharacterized. The record is from RefSeq and is a predicted model, not a curated record. The transcript is spliced from 3 exons. NCBI's taxonomy places the organism in Eukaryota, Metazoa, Chordata, Actinopteri, Cypriniformes, Xenocyprididae.